This 174-nucleotide ribosomal RNA is filed under the name Crossandra infundibuliformis. RNAcentral's name for it is "5.8S ribosomal RNA". The stretch from base 44 to 174 matches the Rfam family "5.8S ribosomal RNA", at positions 1 to 137 of the family's 154-position model. Rfam says of the family: 5.8S ribosomal RNA (5.8S rRNA) is a component of the large subunit of the eukaryotic ribosome. It is transcribed by RNA polymerase I as part of the 45S precursor that also contains 18S and 28S rRNA. The record is from RNAcentral. Lineage: Eukaryota; Viridiplantae; Streptophyta; Magnoliopsida; Lamiales; Acanthaceae.
GCACCCGAGUGAGGGCAAGGUUGUGCCUCACGUAAGUCGAAAUGACUCUCGACAACGAAUAUCUCAGCUCUCACAUUGAUGAAGAACGUAGCGAUAUGCGAUACUUGGUGUGAAUUGCAGAAUCCCUGAACCAUCGAGUCUUUGAACGCAAGUUGCGCCCAAAGCCUUCGGGUC